UUUAGUCAGGCAACGAGCGAGACCCGUGCCCACUGUUACCAGCAUGUCCUCCGGGAUGAUGGGUACUCUGUGGGGACCGCCGGUGUUAAAUCGGAGGAAGGUGCGGGCCACGGUAGGUCAGUAUGCCCCGAAUUUCCCGGGCUACACGCGGGCUACAAUGGAUGGGACAAUGGGUCCCUUCCCCGAAAGGGGUUGGUAAUCUCACAAACCCAUUCGUAGUUCGGAUCGAGGGCUGUAACUCGCCCUCGUGAAGCUGGAAUCCGUAGUAAUCGCGUUUCAAUAUAGCGCCGUGAAUACGUCCCUGCUCCUUGCACA
This 315-nucleotide ribosomal RNA is filed under the name uncultured archaeon. Its description in RNAcentral is "bacterial SSU rRNA". It matches the Rfam family "Archaeal small subunit ribosomal RNA", at positions 1029 to 1343 of the family's 1478-position model. The record is from RNAcentral.